This is a non-coding RNA of Paramuricea clavata, 134 nucleotides long. NCBI's taxonomy places the organism in Eukaryota, Metazoa, Cnidaria, Anthozoa, Malacalcyonacea, Plexauridae. The record is from the annotation of a GenBank genome assembly.
GUUCUCCUUUUAUUCCUCCUUUGUUGGACUAGUAUUUUCCGAGACUUUGUACUUGAUGUUACUAGUAUACAUGAACAUCGAGUACAAAGUCUCGGAAAAUAUUAGUCCAACAAAGCAGGAAUACAAGGAGAACA